Molecule: ribosomal RNA, 305 nt
Filed under: uncultured bacterium
Lineage: Bacteria
Description: bacterial SSU rRNA
Rfam family: Bacterial small subunit ribosomal RNA
Source: RNAcentral
UUGUCCUACGGGGCGCAGCAGUGGGGGAUAUUGCACAAUGGGGGAAACCCUGAUGCAGCGACGCCGCGUGAGCGAUGAAGUAUUUCGGUAUGUAAAGCUCUAUCAGCAGGGAAGAAAAUGACGGUACCUGACUAAGAAGCCCCGGCUAACUACGUGCCAGCAGCCGCGGUAAUACGUAGGGGGCAAGCGUUAUCCGGAUUUACUGGGUGUAAAGGGAGCGUAGACGGUUAAGUAAGUCUGGAGUGAAAGGCCGGGGCCCAACCCCGGGACUGCUCUGGAAACUAUUGAACUUGAGUGCAGGAGAG